Lolium rigidum is the source of this 484-nucleotide long non-coding RNA. RefSeq lists it as uncharacterized. NCBI's taxonomy places the organism in Eukaryota, Viridiplantae, Streptophyta, Magnoliopsida, Poales, Poaceae. The transcript is spliced from 3 exons. The record is from RefSeq and is a predicted model, not a curated record.
AAUUAUCCUGUACUAGCCAAGAUGGCUCGGGACUUUCUGGCUAUUCCAUUAUCAUCUGUGGCUUCUGAAUCAACAUUUAGUAUAGCCAGCAUGAUAAUUGAUAAACAUGGCAGUUCUCUAAAUCCAGAAACAGCUGAAGGACUAAUAUGCUCAAAAGAUUGGCUAAAAGAAUACUUGUCCGAUGACGACGACGACACUGAUGAUGAUUGACUCCACGGGUUUCAGCCAUAGAUUUAUGCUCAAAAAAAGGACACAGGAGAGCAAAGAUGGUGUUUGGGAAUUUCAACCAUAAUGGUGCAUUUGCUGAUAGCCUGCAUGUCAUUUCUCACUGGUGUUUAGAUGAUGGCUGGACAGAAAAUUAUAGUCCAGUAUUAUCAUGUAACUUGAGUCACCAUUUAUCGAAAACUCACCAUCUGUAUGUCCGUAUGCAGUGUAAUCUAUAGACUUGAGUUCAGUUGAAAAGUUCUUGUUUUGUUAUGUUCCA